RNAcentral lists this ribosomal RNA (258 nucleotides) under uncultured bacterium. Its description in RNAcentral is "partial 16S ribosomal RNA". It matches the Rfam family "Bacterial small subunit ribosomal RNA", at positions 29 to 289 of the family's 1533-position model. The record is from RNAcentral.
GUGAACGCUGGCGGCAGGCCUAACACAUGCAAGUCGAGCGGCAGCGCGGGGGCAACCCUGGCGGCGAGCGGCGGACGGGUGAGGAAUUCGUCGGAAUCUGCCUUUUUGUGGGGGAUAACGUAGGGAAACUUACGCUAAUACCGCAUACGACCUACGGGUGAAAGUGGGGGACCUUCGGGCCUCACGCAGAAAGAUGAGCCAACGACCGAUUAGCUAGUUGGUAGGGUAAAGGCCUACCAAGGCGACGAUCGGUAGCUG